CCUCCUUAAACGCAAGCCGUCUGGCAAGCGCUCACAACGAAUUACUUGAUUGGUUUUUAUCUUCGGAUAAGGACUGAUUGUGCUCUUUAACAAUUUGGAUUUGUGAUAUUGAUUGAACGCUUUGUGAUGAAUGUGUUCAAUUGCGUUGUACAUGCUGUUCUCAAGCAGUAUGUAUAACAGUUAGUGUUUGUCAUUAUCAGCGACAAGCAUUAACAAGUUUAGGUAAUACACUGCGAGCCGACGUGAGUUGGUGAGCAACUGAUUUUCAAUUUAUGAAAACGUGUUUUUAUCGAGCGACUUAUCCGGUGGUCAUCUUCUUGGUCGAAGAUGACUAGGAAAUAAUCGAAAGAUUGUUUCUACAUCGAAAAAUCUUGAACAAAAGGGUGACCGUCAGAUCACCCGCAACUCAAACCAAUGAGUCUGCNCANGAAUUUUUUGUGUUGAUCGAGACGCCCGAAGCGCCGCAAGGAGGGAGUUGGCAUAAGGCCCAAUGACCGGACGGAACAAACGACGGCCAAC
Molecule: unclassified non-coding RNA, 519 nt
Filed under: uncultured Gammaproteobacteria bacterium
Lineage: Bacteria; Pseudomonadati; Pseudomonadota; Gammaproteobacteria
Description: partial 16S-23S ribosomal RNA intergenic spacer
Source: RNAcentral